CCCUUAGAUGUUCUGGGCUGCACACGCGCUACACUGAAGGGAUCAGCGUGUUCUUUUCCUGGUCCGAAAGGAUCGGGUAACCCGCUGAACCCCCCUCGUGGUAGGGAUCGGAGCUUGCAAUUAUUCUCCGUGAACCAGGAAUUCCCAGUAAGCGCAAGUCAUAAGCUUGCGUUGAUUACGUCCCUGCCCUUUGUACACACCGCCCGUCGCACCUACCGAUUGAAUGGUCCGGUGAAAUCUCGGGACGGCGGCUUGGUCGCUUGCGUCCGACUGCUGAAACUUGAUUAAACCAUAUCAUUUAGAGGAAGGUGAAGUCGUAACA
RNAcentral lists this ribosomal RNA (322 nucleotides) under uncultured eukaryote. Its description in RNAcentral is "partial 18S ribosomal RNA". It matches the Rfam family "Eukaryotic small subunit ribosomal RNA", at positions 1470 to 1796 of the family's 1831-position model. The record is from RNAcentral.